CUAGCAUUCAUAGUGUAAUAUUAUGAUAUUGAUCAUAUGUCCCAAAAUAUCUGAAAUCUUUGAAAGUGAGAGGAAAUGAAUUGUCAAGUGGCAUAAAGAAGGAAAGACGUAAGAUGAAUCGAAGUUCAGCGUUUUUCGUUCGAACGGGCGUAAUUUUAUUUGGAGACAAGCAAAUACAGAGAUGGAAGCGAUAAACUUACGUGCUACAGUGAAACAUAUUCCCUUGCCUUGAAAAGUCGAGCCAAACAGUUCUGCAGCCGAUCUAUUGGAAGUUAAAAAGUCGAUCAUUAAAGUUUCAAAAAGGAGCAAUUAAUUUUUGAGCGGACGGUGUUAAGUAAUUCGGCGGGACCACUUACAUUGACAGGUACAGAUGUUCAAAUAGUAAAAAUGUACUCUUGAUUCAUCGAUGCAAAUUA
Non-coding RNA from Nomia melanderi (Alkali bee), 416 nucleotides. NCBI's taxonomy places the organism in Eukaryota, Metazoa, Arthropoda, Insecta, Hymenoptera, Halictidae. The record is from RefSeq and is a predicted model, not a curated record.